RNAcentral lists this ribosomal RNA (303 nucleotides) under uncultured bacterium. RNAcentral describes it as "partial 16S ribosomal RNA". It matches the Rfam family "Bacterial small subunit ribosomal RNA", at positions 507 to 807 of the family's 1533-position model. The record is from RNAcentral.
AGCAGUAGCCACGGUAAAACGAAGGGUGCAAGCGUUACUCGGAAUUACUGGGCGUAAAGCGUGCGUAGGUGGUGGUUUAAGUCCGUUGUGAAAGCCCUGGGCUCAACCUGGGAAUUGCAGUGGAUACUGGGUCACUAGAGUGUGGUAGAGGAUAGUGGAAUUUCCGGUGUAGCAGUGAAAUGCGUAGAGAUCGGAAGGAACAUCUGUGGCGAAGGCGACUAUCUGGGCCAACACUGACACUGAGGCACGAAAGCGUGGGGAGCAAACAGGAUUAGAUACCCCCGUAGUCCCUGUCUCUUAUAC